This 3363-nucleotide long non-coding RNA is filed under the name Homo sapiens (human). Its description in RNAcentral is "HSALNT0392053". Lineage: Eukaryota; Metazoa; Chordata; Mammalia; Primates; Hominidae. The record is from RNAcentral.
GAUGCGGACCAGCUUCUGUGGUCCCCCAGAAGAUGGCUAAAGGAGGGACAGAGAAAGGAUGAGGAGGAGCUGUUGAAGCCAUCAACAGGAAUGGGAAUUCAGGGGAGAUGAUUGGCACUAGGGCGACCUGGGAGUGAUGCAGAGGCGCAGAUGCUCUGAGAACAGCCUGAGUGCCUCCUGCCACCCUGCCAGCACCGAGCCCCUCUUCCAGCCCACCCCAGUGGGGUCCAGGCCCCUCCCUGGAGCCUCACCUUGCGGGUCACGGUGCACUGCUGAGUCAUGUCCUGGAUGAGGGCUAUGAGCUGCUGCUGAGCCCUGCAGAGACCAGCAGAGGCCCUGACCCAGCUGCCUCCUGCCAGGCUGGAGCGCUCCAUCCUGGCGGCCAUGCCAGUCUCCAGAGCUUUCAAAAGACUCCAGGGCCUCGGCCCACCCCUGGAGAUGCUGAUUUACUUGUCCUGGGGCGGGACCCAGGGGGUGCUGUUGAGCAGCCAGCGUACAGGGCCCCACUCCAGGACCUCAAUAUUCAUGGUGGGUCCCUGGCCUGCAGCCUGGAGUCACCGAGAGAGCUGUUAGAAAUGCAGAGUGCCAGGCCUCUCCCUGGACCUGCUGGCUCCGAUCCCCAGGGGACUUGAGUUUGCAAUGAGUGAUGGGGGUGCUGAGCUCAACACUCCUGCUUUCUAGCACUGUGCGUUCCGUGCACUUGAAACUUGGAGCCUCCCAUAGGCUGAUCUAGAACAAUGGUUUCCUUUUCUUUUUUUUUUUUUUUGAGACAGAGUCUCACUCUGUCGCCCAGGCUGGAGUGCAAUGGCUCAAUCCCGGCUCACUGCAACCUCUGCCUCCGGGGUUCAAGUGAUUCUCCUGCCUCAGCCUCCUGAGUAGCUGGGAUUACAGGCACCUGCCACCACGCCCAGCUAAGUUUUUUGUAUUUUUAAUAGAGACAGGGUUUCACCAGGUUACCCAGGCUGGUCUCGAACUCCUGACCUCAGAUGAUCCACCCGCCUCGGCCUCCCAAAGUGUUUGGAUUACAGGUGUGAGCCACCAUGCUCGGCCUAGAGCAGUGGUUUUCAAUGGAGCAAGGCAGGGGGCAAUGUCACUCCCCAGGGAGGGUGACCAGCUGUCCCUGCUUGCCCAGGACCGAGGGGCUUCCCUGCAAGUGGGGCUUUCAGUGCUAAGACCAAGACAGUCCUAGGAGAACCAGGGGACCCUUGGCAACCUAUAGAGACAUUUCUGGUUGUCACAGCUGGGGCAUGGGAGUAGUCCCGGCAUCCUGGGUAGGGCGGCCAGGGAUGCUGCUCUAUAUCCUGCAGUGCCCAGGACGGCCCCACCACAGACGGGGAUCCAGCCCCAAACGUCCAUGGUACCAAAGCUAAGAAACCCAGAGCUAAGAAACCCAGAUCUAGAAUGUUCUAGAAUGAACAUUUCAUUUGCAAUAUAUAAAGCAUCCAUCACAAAGAAACAACAUCUUCAGCAGUGAUCUUGGCAGGCUUCCCUCCUUAGGGGGGUCUCACCACGCCCACCCUCUAUUGCUGGGCAGGAGGAGGAAGCCGAGGCAGGCUGGGUGCCAUUUCCCUGUGGGCCUCUCUGGGGACGCACCGAGCUCGAGGCAGCUGCUCACCUGGAGUAGUUGGGGAUGGUGCCGUGCGCGGCAGUAUCCUUCAUGGUGUAAGAGUUCACGCGGUGGGCAUGCCAGCAGCCGCAGCCCUGGAACAUGGUGUCGGUGACGUGCAGGACCUCGUUGCAAUGCACCUGCAGCUCCCCUUUGGCCCUGCCCUCCAUGGCCAGGUUGACCCGGAUGUAGAAUGAGUCCCCCGAGGUCGCCACUUUGGCCUCCAGGUCCUGGAGUAGCCUCUUAUAACCUGAUAAAAGGGGACAUGAGCCACAGAUGAGCCACAGAUACGAGCCUCUGCGAGGAAGGUUGCAGAAAAUUAAAGUAGGAGAGAAGGAAGGACCCUCCCAGUCUCAGAAGCUGCUCUGGCACUGGAGUCAGUGGGUGGGAGGUUUCCAGCUGGCUUGGGGGCCUCCUGGGGACCUGGGGCACAGCCUGGCUGAUCCUCUCUUGGCUCUGGGGGUCCCUGGCUGCUGGGCGUGCAGAAGAACCACCAGGGACUUAAGGGUCAUGGAGUCUGGCCAGGCAGCUGUGCACACGAGAGGAGUGGUAUGUGUACCGUCCGUGUUGACCUUCACAGACAGGCAGCAGAAGCCGUCCACCCUCCUGAGAAGCCCCACGGCCUCCUCCAGGGUCGUGUCCUCCAGGACUGCCUUGAACAAGGGCUCUGAGGCUUCGUAAUCAACCUGAGGGCAAGUCGAGAAGGUCAGUCUCUUUCCCCCGGGACUCUGAAUCCAGCCAGAAGACAGAAGGCGCUGAGGGCACUGAGGCGAGGCGCGGGCCAGCCCUGCCGUAGGACCACUGCCUGCACGCCUUGGUCAAAACAAAGCCACACACCAGAGCCUCUGUGGGGCCUUCACACCUCUAGUGAUGCGUGCUACACAUAGUGCUGGCCAGAGAGUCAACUGCCAACCCUUCCCCAGUCGAGAUCGGGGGUUCUUUGUGAUAAGCACUUUCCUGUCUUGAAAAAGAAAAGAAAAGAAAAGAAAGAACCUCGGUUCUAGAACAUUCAAGAGCAUUCUAGAUAGAGGUUUCUUAGCCUUGGGAUCAUUCUGUGCUGCUGCGGGCUAUACCGGGCCCUACAGGAUGCUGAGUGGCAUCCCUGGCCUUCACCUACCCGAUGCCCUGGCUCUCCACCCACAGCCUUCCCCACUGUGAAGGCCCACCCCCCAGGGCUUCCACCAUCCACUUCAUUUCUUCUCAAUAUUGUUCUAAGCUUAGGAGAGUAGAUAUUUUUACAAUAAAAAUUAAGAUGUGUUUUAACACCAUUAGAAUCUAAUUGGCCCCCUUAGGAUAUCGGGACUAUCUCCCUGAACAUCGUCAAGGGGCUCUGUUGCUUGAACUACCUCAGAGCUGAUAAUUGGGAACCUUAAGAGCAGGGUUCCCCAACCCCUGGGCCACAUACUGGUACUGGUCCAUGGUCCAUCAGGACCCGGGUCACACAGCAGGAGGGGCGUGGUGGGCAAGUGAGCAUUACGGCCUCAGCUCCACCUCCUGUCAGCUCAGCACAGCAGUAGAUUCUCAGAGGAGCAUGAGCCCUAUCGUGAACUGUGCAAGUGAGGGAUCUAGGUUUCACGCUCCUUAUGAGAAUCUAAUUCCUGAUGAUCUGUUACCGUCUCCCAUCACCCCCAGAUGGGACCGUCUAGUUGCAGGAAAACAAGCUCAGGGCUCCCACUGAUUCUGAAUUAUGGUUCAGUGUAUGAUUCUUUCAUUACAUAUUACAGUGUAAUAAUAAUAGAAAUAAAGUGUACAAUCAA